RNAcentral lists this small RNA (544 nucleotides) under Masoniella tertia. RNAcentral describes it as "eukaryotic LSU rRNA". It matches the Rfam family "Eukaryotic large subunit ribosomal RNA", at positions 50 to 600 of the family's 3401-position model. The record is from RNAcentral. Lineage: Eukaryota; Fungi; Ascomycota; Sordariomycetes; Microascales.
GCGGAGGAAAAGAAACCAACAGGGAUUGCCCCAGUAACGGCGAGUGAAGCGGCAACAGCUCAAAUUUGAAAUCUGGUCCCCUUGCGGGGCCCGAGUUGUAAUUUGAAGAGGAUGCUUCUGGCAAGGUGCCUUCCGAGUUCCCUGGAACGGGACGCCGCAGAGGGUGAGAGCCCCGUACGGUAGGACGCCGAGCCUCUGUGAAGCUCCUUCGACGAGUCGAGUAGUUUGGGAAUGCUGCUCAAAAUGGGAGGUAAACCCCUUCUAAAGCUAAAUACUGGCCAGAGACCGAUAGCGCACAAGUAGAGUGAUCGAAAGAUGAAAAGCACUUUGAAAAGAGAGUUAAAAAGCACGUGAAAUUGUUGAAAGGGAAGCGCUUGCGACCAGACUCGCGCCCGUCGGAUCAGCCGUCGCUUGCGGCGGUGCACUCCGGCGGGCUCGGGCCAGCAUCAGUUCGCCUCGGGGGGAGAAAGGCGGCAGGAAUGUGGCUCUUCGGAGUGUUAUAGCCUGCCGUAUAAUACCCCCGGGCGGACUGAGGACCGCGCGU